GAAAUGCGAUAAGUAAUGUGAAUUGCAGAAUUCAGUGAAUCAUCGAAUCUUUGAACGCAAAUUGCGCCCGUCAGCAUUCUGGCGGGCAUGCCUGUUCGAGCGUCAUUUCAACCCUCAGGACCCCCCUUUCGCGGGGAGGGACCUGGCGUUGGGGAUCGGCCCGCCCCCCGCGGCGGCGCCGUCCCCGAAAUCUAGUGGCGGUCUCGCUGCAGCCUCCCCUGCGUAGUAGUUACAACCUCGCAUCGGAGCGCGGCGCGGCCACGCCGUAAAACCCCCGACUUUCUGAACGUUGACCUCGGAUCAGGUAGGAAUACCCGCUGAACUUAAGC
RNAcentral lists this unclassified non-coding RNA (329 nucleotides) under plant metagenome. RNAcentral's name for it is "partial contains 5.8S ribosomal RNA, internal transcribed spacer 2, and large subunit ribosomal RNA". The stretch from base 1 to 105 matches the Rfam family "5.8S ribosomal RNA", at positions 50 to 154 of the family's 154-position model. The record is from RNAcentral.